Aquila chrysaetos chrysaetos is the source of this 159-nucleotide small nuclear RNA. Its record names the gene U1. It matches the Rfam family "U1 spliceosomal RNA". Rfam says of the family: U1 is a small nuclear RNA (snRNA) component of the spliceosome (involved in pre-mRNA splicing). The record is from Ensembl. Lineage: Eukaryota; Metazoa; Chordata; Aves; Accipitriformes; Accipitridae.
CUACUUACCUGGCAGGGGGGACACCAUGAACAGUCAGGUGGUUUUCCCAGGGCAAGGCUCAUCCCCUGCUCUCUGGGUGUGCUGGUUUUUAUAUUGGGGUUUUUUGCAGUUGGGCUAGAUGAUCUUUGUAGGUCCAACUGAACUGCUUCUAUUCUAUUC